This 13997-nucleotide long non-coding RNA is filed under the name Gossypium barbadense (sea-island cotton). RNAcentral's name for it is "long non-coding RNA (GBAR_LNC006054)". Lineage: Eukaryota; Viridiplantae; Streptophyta; Magnoliopsida; Malvales; Malvaceae. The record is from RNAcentral.
GCGAAGGUAAGUUUCUCGCUCCUCUUUCUUCCCUGUUUUUUUUAAAAGUUCUAAAGAAGGCAGGACAUAUGCGAAAAAAAUAUUGAAGACGAUGAAGAUUCAAAAAUCACCUUCUUUGCUUUGUAUUGUUUUUGAUUCUCUUUUUCGUAUUUGUUUUUGUUGCCUUUGUCCGUAACCAUUACAAAGAUUGAAUCGUUGGCUUUAUAGCCGGAAAGAAAAGAAAAUAAAAAGGAAAUAAAAAUAAGAAAUACAAUUGUUUGUUUGUUUCUGUUGCUGUUGUCUCUUUUGUAUUUGCAGGUACGGGGUGGUGUUUGCGUGUGUACGAGAGCGUGGGCGUGGCGCCAAGAUGCUGGGGCGUACGGAGGCAUGGAGCUACUGUCCGGUUGCUGUUGCGGCGCAGGAGAAAGGGAGUGAUUUAGGGUUUGUCUUGGCUUAACAUUCUGGGCCUAUUGGGCCUUGUGAAUUUGGGUUUGUAAUAUUUUGGGUUUAAAAUUAGGUUAUGUAACUUGGACUAAUGGACUUUUAUUGGACUGUUAAUGUAUUUUUUGUUUAUUAUUUUUUGGUUUUGUAUUUAUACGGGCCCGGGCUAAAUUGGCCCAUUACAACUGCCCCUCUUUGCUCAUUGUCGUGUAACGAGAACAGAGCAAAGACUUCGACGAGGGUCAAUUUUGCCCGGUUUUGCGGAAUCAUGACUUUUUUGGUGCUUCUUUUCUUCGAGUGACUUUGACCUGCUCCAUUGGAGACGAGAUCUGCAAUCUUCGGCCUACUCCACUACAACAUUAGGGAGCUAGGAUGGUAGCUUAAAUCUGCUUCACUGUAACUUCAGGAAGCCAAGGUUCGUCAUCUUCGAUUUGCUCUCUGUCAAUCACAGAGACGCCAAAUCCGUCAUCUUCGAUCUGCUCUCUGCCAAUAAAGAGACGCCAAAUCUGCUAUCUUUGAUCUGCUCUUCGCCAAUACAGAGAUGCCAAAUCUGCUAUCUUUGAUCUGCUCUUCGCCAAUACAGAGAUGCCAAAUCUGCUAUCUUUGAUCUGCUCUCUGCCAAUAUAGAGACGCCAAAUCUGCUAUCUUUGAUCUGCUCUCUGCCAAUACAGAGACGCCAGAUUUGCUAUAUUCGAUCUGCUCUCUGCCAAUACAGAGACGCCGAAUCUGCUAUCUUCGAUCUGCUCUCUGCCAAUACAGAGACGCCAAAUCUACUAUCUUCGAUCUGCCCUCUGCCAAUAUAGAGAUGCCAAAUCUGCUAUCUUCGAUCUGUUCCCCGCUAAUACAGAGAUGUCAAAUCUGCUAUCUUCGAUCUGCCCUCUGCCAGUUUAAUGCUUUAUUAGAUAUAAUCCUCUUCGGUAUUCCAUAUCGACAUAUGAUCUCUUUUUUCAGAAACUUGCUCACUGCUGACUUUGUCAGACUAGCAUACGAAGCGGCUUCUACCCAUUUGGUGAAAUAGUCGAUAACCACAAAGAUGAAACGAUGCCCAUUGAAAGCUUUCGGCGAUAUUGGUCCAAUCACAUCUAUGCCCCACAUAGAGAAUGACCAUGGAGAAACCAUGACAUGCAGCGGUGAAGGAGGCACAUGAAUUUUAUCACUGUAGAUUUAACACUUAUGACAUCUCUUAGCGUAAUUGACACAGUCUCCUUCCAUGGUGGACCAAUAGUACCCGAAUCUCAUAAUUUUCCUGGCCAUUGUAAAGCCAUUAGCGUGUGUCCCACAGACACCUUCAUGGACUUCUUCCAAGAUUUUCCUAGCCUUUACAGCGUCUACACAUCUUAGUAGCACUUGAUCAUUUCUUCUUUUGUAUAAUAUAUCCCCAUCUAAGACAUAGUUGAUGACCAGUCUUCUUAGCGUUCUUUUGUCAUUCUCGUUUGCUUGGUCUGGGUACUCACGAUUCUUCACGUACUGCAAUAUAUCGUGAUACCAAGGGUGAUUAUCUUUCUAUUCGUCUUCUUCAAUAUUGUAUCAGUGAGCCGGAACCUCAUAAAUGCUCAUCCGGAUGGGUUUGACAUCUUCUUGUUUGUUCACCUUGAUCAUGGAGGCUAAGGUAGCCAAAGCAUCAGCCAUCUGAUUUUCGUCUCGUGGAAGGUAAUGGAAGGUAAUGUCAUCAAACUCUUUAACCAAUUCAAGGACCACUUUCCGAUAAUCGAUUAACUUGGGGUCUCUGGUCUCCCAUUCUCCUUUGAGUUGAUAAAUUACUAGUGCAGAAUCCCCAAAGACCUCUAGCACUUUAAUCUUGUGAUCUAUGGCUGCGCGGAUACCCAUGAUGCAUGCCUCGUAUUCCAUCAUGUUAUUCGUACAAUAAAAAUCCAAUUUACCAGUGAAUGGAUAAUGAUCUCCGUUUGGGGAUACUAAGACGGCCCCAAUUCCAUUUCCCACAACAUUUGACGCCCUAUCGAAGUUCAAUUUCCAAGGAAGUUCUUCCAAAGUGCCUUCUUCAGUGGUAGCAACACACAUUAGGUCUUCAUUCGGGAAGUCAAAGUUUAAAGGCUCGUAGUUUUCCAAAGCUCUACUGGCCAGAAAAUCUGCUAUUGCACUUCCUUUUACUGCUUUCUGGUUCACAUAGACUAUGUCGAAUUCAGAAAGCAGAAUCUGCCAUCGGGCCAUCCUUCCAUUCAAGGCUGUUGACUCCAUCAUGUACUUCAAGGGGUCUAAUUUUGAGAUGAGCCAAGUGGUGUGAUAUAACAUAUACUGCCUCAGCCUCCGGGUUGUCCAAAUUAAGGCACAACACAAUUUCUCUAUUGGCGGGUACCUUGUCUCACAUUCUGUGAACUUCUUACUAAGAUAGUAAAUGGCUUUCUCUUUCCUUCCUGACUCAUCAUGCUGACCCAAUACGCAUCCCAUGGAGUUCUCGAAUACUGCCAAAUACAGUAUCAACGGCUUAUUAGAGUUAGGUGGCAUCAACACCGAGGCAUUGGAUAAGUACUGUUUGACCUGGUUGAAAGCCCUUUGGCAUUCUUCAUCCCAUUCACCUGGGUUAUGUUUCUUGAGGAGGCGAAAGACAGGGUCACAUUUCUCGGUCAGUUGUGAAAUGAACCGAGCAAUGUAAUUUAAUCUUCCUAAAAAGUCUCAAACUUCUUUCUGAGUGCGCAGCGGGGAUAGCUCUUGUAUGACUUUAACUUUGUCUGGAUCGAUCUCAAUCCCUUUCUCACUAACCACGAAUUCGAGCAACUUUCCAGACUUGGCUCUGAAGACAUUUGGCUGGGUUGGGUUUUAACUGGAACUUCCUCAACCUUAAGAACAAUUUCCUCAAGACUUGUAUGUGCUCCUUCUCUGUUCGAGAAUUUGCGAUCAUGUCAUCGACAUAAACCUCGAUUUCUUUAUGCAUCAUGUCAUGAAAAUGGGUUACCAUGGCUCUUUGAUAAGUUACCCCCGCAUUCUUCAGUCCAAAUGGUAUCACCUUGUAGCAGAACGUGCCCCACAUGGUUACAAAUGUGGUUUUCUCCAUAUCUUCAAGAUGCAUCUUGAUCUAGUUAUAUCCGAAAAAACCGUCCAUGAAUGAAAACAGUGAGUGUCCUGCUGUGUUGUCCACUAGGGUGUCGAUAUGAGCCAGUGGGAAAUUAUCUUUCGGGCUGGCUUUAUUCAAAUCUCUGUAACCCACAUACAUUCGCACCUUUUCAUCUUUCUUGGGGAUGGGGACGAUGUUGGCUACCCAAUCUGAGUAUUUUACCACCUUCAGGAAUCCGGCAUCGAACUGCUUUUGAACCUCUUCUUUUAUUUUUAGCAAAACAUCGGGCCUCAUUCUUCGGAGUUUUUGCUGAACUGGCUUACAUUCUUCCUUUAUGGGAAGUCGAUGUACCACGAUGUCAGUGUCCAACCCGGGCAUAUCUUGGUAUGACCAUGCGAAGACGUCUUUGAAUUCUUGAAGUAAUUCAAUGAGGUCUCGCUUCAUCUCCAUAGUGAUACAUGUUCCGAUCUUCACCUUUUGUCCUUCUCCUAAGUUCACAAUUUCAACUGAUUCUUUGUAUGGUAAGAUUUGUUUCUCGUCUUGUUCUACCAUCCUCAACAAAUCAGGAGAUAGAUUACAGCCUUGGUCAUCUUCAAAUCCUAAGAAUCAUCCAUACAUACAUCUCGCUCGAAAGGAAAUUCUGAGUCGCUAGCAGUGUCACUCAUAUCAUUAAUAUCUGGGGACUGUUAUGAGGAUGAAUGCAGACACAAAGAAACAAAAGAAUUCGAAACAUUUAUUUACGUGGUAUGAUUAUGAAUGACGAAUGAAAGAAUAUUUAGAAGAAUGUUUCAAGAAUAAAAGAAUCGAAAAGUAAUCAUUUGUAUGGUUAUGAAAUUGAGAGGACGAGAGAACAUUUGCUCAAAAAUGAUAAUAACUGUGCAUUUUAUUGAAAUAUCGUUUUUAAACAUUAGCCUAUUUCACAAAAGAUUCUUAUUACUCCUAGGCCUAGAGCAAUAAGUGUGUUUUAGACAUUACUCUGAAUCCGUUCUAAAAACUACAGGAAUCUCUUCCGCAGUCCAGUUGUCCAGAACACUUCCAGGCGUGCAGAGGAAAUGCCCGACAAAUUCUCUCUUCUGGUCUCCUCUUUGCAUAUGACGUUGAUGUCCAAGCUUUCCAGCCUCUCUUCUAUAGCUCCCGUCAUUGGUGUGUCUCUCUCGGGAUGAAUGAUUCCCCCAGACACAAAUGUUUUUGAUAUAUGGGGGAAUGUCAUCGGUUUCCACUUGAUUUCCUCCCCCGUUAAUCGUACUCUCCUUCUUUCUUGCUUCCUUUCCAGCUCCCUUCUCCGUUGUUUGACAUCCGGCUUAAAUCCUAAGCCGAAGCGGUCUCUCUUGUCUUUCAACAUUGGCGUCUCAAUCCUUCCUUGUAGAUGUCUCCCGAGUCCCCUUCCGGGUAAGGCCCCUUUUCCAAUCGUCAACUAGAGGCUCAUCCUCGUGGUUUUGGACAAUUCCGGUGCCAGAAUUUUGCUCCCCUCGGCGAUGAAUGUCGCAUUAACAAAUUCCAAAGAUCGAAAUGAGAAUUCGAUUGCUUGGUCAUCUGUCUCCAAAUAGGGUGCAUUAUUGCUCACAGUUGCAAUAAUAUCCUCCUCAGCCUUGAUCGUUAUCAACCUCCCCUCCGAUACUAGCUUCAACUUUUGAUGCAACGAGGAAGGCACUGCCCCAGCUGAAUGUAUCCAGGGCCUCUCCAACAAGUAAUUGAAUGAGGGGUUGAUGUCCAUUACGAGGAAAUCCACCUCAUAUGUGUUUGGCCCAAUCUGAGGGGGUACCUCGAUUCUGCCCAUCACCUUCCUCUCUGUGCCAUCAAAUGCUUUCACGAUGUUCUGGCACUCCUUCAUGUGAAAGCUGUCUAUAGGUAACCUAUUUAACGUGGUCAAUGGUAGAACAUUCAAAGCCGACCCAUUGUCAAUCAAUACACCUGGCAGCGUAUACCCUUUACAGCGUGUGGUGAUAUGCAGAGCUUUAGUCAACCCCAUGCCCCCGGGUGGUAUCUCGUCAUCAUUAAAAAAGAUAUAAUUGUCCGCAUUUAUGUUGUUAACCAAGCGGUCCAACUUGUUAACGGAGAUAUCAUUGGGAGCAUAUGUUUCAUUCAAGACCUUCAUUAGUGCGCUAUGAUGAACUUUCGAGCUUAAAAGUAAGGCCAGCACCGAGAUACGGGCUGGUUGUUUACGUAGUUGUUCUACCACACUAUAUUUGCUAUACUUUAGGAAUUUUAAAAACUCCUUGGCCUCCUCUUCGUUAACUGGCUCGUUAACAGGCUUGGUUGCUUUUUCUUUCAUUUCCUCGGCCAUUGGGGCUUUUCCUUUUACGGGUUGUACCUCUUCGUUUGCUGCAUUGUAACGUCUCCCGCUACGUGUAUAGGAGCCCUUGUCUUGACCCUUUUUUGAAGCAUCCACGAGGCUCUUCUUCCUUGGAAUCAUCACGCUACAAUCAUAAUUCCAUGAGACCUUUUUGCUGUCUUUAUAGGGGAAGACUGUAGGUCUUUGGAUUAUGACCCUUGGUGGCAUUUGUACUCCGGUUUCGUUAUUUUUGGGUCUCGAUAUGAUAACUAUGGGAUAGUUAGCUAUUUGAUUUUGUGCCGUCGAUUCUCCUUCUGAUGCGCAUAUAUCUCCCUCUACGGGAUCUUAUAUCUCUUCAUAAAACUCUAUUUCCUUAUUAUCCAUCAUAUUUUGUACUAGGACCCUGAACUCUAUACAAUCUUGGAUUUCAUGCCCCACUUUGUUGUGAAACUCACAGUAGUUUCUCUCUUCUUCGGAUUCUUCUCUUGAAUCCAACGCGAUCAAUCCUCUCUUGGCCAUCUCCUUCCAUACUCGCCUCAACGGGCUCCUAACUUUUGCCACCUUAUAUUUGGUCUUCUUAUUCUUACCUUCACUUAUCCCAUUCACUUCUUGGUCGAUAUGAUUGGGGAGUGGGUUUCCUGAUACAUUGGGUGUGGCUGGGUCGUCAAAUCUUACGAUCCCCAUCUUAAUGAGUCUUUCGACUAAUUUCUUAAACGCAGCGCAGUUUUCGAUAGAGUGCCCGGUGACUCUUGCGUAGUAUUCACAUUGGGCGUUUGUGUCAUACCAUUUGGGAUACGGAGGCUGCAGUGGCUUCAGGUAGAAAGGGGAUACCACAUGAGCGUUGAACAGGUUCUGGUACAACUCCCUAUAUGUCAUGGGUAUAAGGGUGAAUUGAGGUCUUUCUGUGUUCUCCCUUGCAUUGGAUUCUUGUCUUACAGAACUUUGCUAACUGGUGGUCACUGUCUUGGGUUGAUUUAUGGUGAAUGACUUGGACUGACCUUUGUUAGAUGUGCUCAUGUUGUUCACUUCAUUGUCUCUUUUCCUCGGGGCCGACUUCCUGGUACUUUCUCCGGCUUCUAUCUUACCACUUUUCACGAUAUUUUCGAUCAUUUCCCCUAUCAUCACUAUGUCGGAGAAGCUCUUAGUGGCGCUUCCCAACAUAUGAGUGAUAAAAGGGGCUUUCAAAGUGUUAAUAAAGAGCAUUGUCGUCUCUUUUUCUAGAAGUGGCGGCUGAACUUGUAUCGCCACUUCUCUCCACCUUUGUGCGUACUGUCUGAAGCUUUCAUUUAACUUUUUCUCCAUAUUCUGGAGAGUGAUUCUGUCGGGGUCAUGUCUGUCACAUGACUGUAUUGCUUCAUAAAGGCCUGAGCCAGGUCCUUUCAUGAGUUAAAUUUAGCUCGGCUUAAUUGGUUAUACCACUUAGAUGCCACCCCGACCAGACUAUCUUGAAAGUAAUGGAUUAAUAGCUGGUCGUUGUUAACAUAUCCCGUCAUUCGCCUGCAGAAUAUAGUGAUGUGGGCUUCAGGGCAGCUCGUUCCAUUGUAUUUCUCGAAUUCGGGCAUUUUGAAUUUGGGGGGAAGGACUAAAUCUGGGACCAAACUCAUGUCCUUGGCAUCAAUCCCUUGAUGAUGAUCCGCGCUCUCCAUGGCUUUGAAUUUCUCUUCAAGCCAUCUACAUCGUUCUUCCAAUUGUUUUUGCGAAUCCAUCCUCACCUUUUCUUCUUCAGCAAUUUCAUCCAAGUCGGGAAGAGGCGGAUAGUUCGGGUUGUUGACAAAGUUAGAGCCUGAGCUGGUUUGGAAAUUCAUCGGUAUUGAAGCUCCGGCCUGAAUCUGCUGGGGCAGGAUCGUGACAGAUGGUUUUGGUAGAUUAAUCUCGGGCUUCAUCGGGACAUGUGUCGGAGUGAAGUUAGGGGGUAUUGAGGAUCCUUAUUAGCUUCUUCAACUUUGUCCAUGGGGCCCUUUCCUUUAUCCGUUCCUCUCAGUAGCAAUUUGGAUAAUUGGGACAUCAUUUCUCUCUAGGACUCCAUCAUUUGCUCCUUCAUUUCUCGUUGAAUCUUGGCUAGCUGCUUUUGCAUCUGAGACUGCAUUUGAUCUUGUAUGUCCUUUUGCAUUUGCUUCAAUUUCUCGAGUCUCUUAUCUAUUGAUUCUUUUCUUGUACCGUAGGGGUGCGUGGUUGGUUGGUUUUCGUUGGUUUCCAGGUUACUGAAAUAACUUUUAAUUAAUUAAUUAGAAAACUCUUAUGGCCUUUAAUGCAUAAUGAUGUGAUGUAAUGCAAAUGCAUGAAUGCAAAUGAGGCAUCAAUUUCGAUUCAACUGCCCUUAGAAAAUUUCACUUGAAAAUAAAAUCUUUUACAAAAAGUCGAGUUACAAAUAAAAUUUUGCUCUAACACUUAGAGUCUUAAUUUUUCUAAGCAACGAGGCCAGCUCUUGUCCGCGCUCUGACUCCAACUCAUACUUCACGCUCAUUGUGUCCGCCUAAACCGCUAAAGUUUACAAAUAAUCUGCUACCUCCCGGAUUUGGGUUAUGGCUUCCCCCAUGAGGUAAUCUCUAUUUCUGACUUGGUCUUGCGCAUGGCGAAGCUGUUCUUUCCAACGAUCCUCGUUUGCUUCGAAAAACUGGAUCCGCAUUUCGCAGUUUUGCAAUGACGCCUCUAACUCUUCUAUUCUUCCUUUCAUUUCUUCUAUCUUGCUCAAGCUUGCCCUCAAUUCCAUUGCGGUGUUGCGGUUUCAGAAUUGAUACAGAGACUUCUCGAGUUCUGCCACUCUAGCCCUUAAUUUCCCUCGCUCAUUUCUGCUUUCCGAUAGACUCCUCUCCAAUUCUUCGUUUCGUGCCUGAGUUUCUUGGAAUUUUCUUUCCCACCGGUCGGUAUUGGCAUUUUCUUCCCGAAUUUCAUGGCGCCAUUGUUCGAAAGUCUUACCUAAACCCGCAGUCCUCAUGGAUAGGCGUAACUUCUUGUAGUCUGUCUUCAAGCUGUCUAGAUCUUCUUCGGCCUUAGUUUUUCCUUUUCUUCACUUCUCAGCCUCUGAUCUUUGAACAUCGACGUCUAAUCUUAGGUGCAUCUUCUCUUCCUCCAAUUGUUCGAUCUUCUUCCCAAACUCUAAACUUUUCUUCUCGAAAUCUUGCCUUAUAAUUUCCAAUUCUGAUGGGGCGACUUACAAUUGUUCCCCGAUAGGUCUAGCAUUCUCUAAGUUUGGCCUAGGAAUAUUAUCAUUAAUCCUUUUCUUAAACCACUCGUUAUACUCGGGCGUUACCAUGGAACCGACGGCUAACCUCUUCAUCCAACAAGUUUGCUUCCAAGCAUCCGAUAACUUCCGAACUCUCUUCUUAUAGUGAGCACCUUUAAACGAGAAUUCACUCUGAGCAAGUCCGUAGAUCGUGGGUACAAAUUGCCUCGACUUGUAUUGCCUCAAGGCUAUCAACAGAGUAUACCCGAUAGCUCCUCAGAUUCCUAACAGUGGCACCCAAUCGAAGUUACCACAUCGGUACAUGAUCUUGUCAGGGACCAUCCAAUAAGCUCUCCACUCGAUAUCCCCAUCCUUGAGGUGUUGAAGAAUAUCCAUCCACUUCUCCUCCGAGAUAUCCUCUCUCCUCUGUAUAGCUGCCUCUUCUUUCAAAGGGGAAUAACCUUCGGAAAAGACUCGAUAGGAAACCUUGUCUACCUUCCAAAAGUGCCCAUGAAACCAUACCAUCAAUAAUUGAGCACAUCCAAUAAACCGCCCCUCACCUGUCUUCCGACAUGAGCUCAAAGACCUGAACGUUUCUGCCAAUAUUACCGGUACCGGUGUGAUUCCCUUUUCAAGGCGAUCAAAUAAGUCGAUGACCGCCUCGUCCACGUGCCUCAAAGCCUUAGGAAAGAUCACUAAUCCGUAGAUGCUUAAGGCAAAUAUAUCGACCCUCUUUCUUUCGUCUGGAUGGGUCAAGAUCAAAUCUCACAAAUUCUCCCAAGGGAUACAUUUGCUAUCUCCUUUUUGCUGAAUCCGAGCAGUGACCCAAGGCUCGCUCAUCCCAGAAAUGCCCAUCAGUUUCUUCACGAAAGCCUGAUUACUAAAAACCCGGACAUAAGUCUUUCGGACCUGAAUCUUUGGACACCUAAGUAGCGUAGUGUAUUCCUCCAUGGUAGGUACCAAAUCCACUUCUCCAAAAGUGAAACACUUGUACGCAGAAUUCCAAAACUACACCAAGGCUCAGAACAAAUGCUUAUCCACUCUAAUGUCUAGCAAGUAAGAUAUGUCACCAUAGUUUUGGUAAAACAACUGCUUGAUCCCUUCAUCCCAACUAGCCCAAAUGUCUCUCAACUCUUGCAGCUCAUUCUAUACUACAUUGACGCGAGUGAAAUCUUGCAGCUCCGACACAUACCCUUCUGCCAAGCUAUCCCCUCUCUCAGAUUGUAGCCUCUCUGACCAAGCACGAACGGCCGCAUUAUCCUCGAAUUUACUAAGAAAUUCAUUCUCCAUGUCAAAUUUUCUAACUUAGUAAUUGAAUGUGGAUUAACGCCUCCUUUAGUAUGCAAUAUCAUGCAAAAAAGACAAUCAAAACAAAACAUCGGUUAGUAUCAAAUAAUAGCGAUAGAAUGCAAGCACAUAAAUGAUGAUUAUAACGCAUAUACGGGUAAGUACUAAGGCUCGACGCAGCUCCACCCAAGGAUAGCUCCUAAGGUUCACUAUAUGUGGUUUAGUUCUAGGGAUAAGUACCCGAAUCAGCUGAUUCCUCAAUCCUCACCCAUUAUAGGCUCAUAUAGAUCGAGUUCGGUUCGGGGGGAUACAUUUCCCUAUGACCAUACGGAGAUGAAAAUCUCACGAAAUCAUAGGUACGGAUGUACCCCGGAAGCAAUCCACUAGCCCAUGCGGAGGUGAAAACCUCACGAAAGCGUAGUUUCUUACUCCCACUUAGAAGGUGUGACCACAGUGGUCAUGCAAUGAAAUGCAGUGCUAUUCUACAAGACUUGCACCAAAACAAACAUACAAUCAAAUGCAAUUGAAAAAUACAUGAUUUUUAAAAUAAAUUUUGGUCUUUUAACAAAAGGAUAGUAAAUAAUCGAUUUUUAUGGCUUGACUCUCAAGUUCAGUCCCCAGCGGAGUCGCCAAGCUGUCGAAACCAUCCAUCGAUUUAAAGAUUUUAAAUUUAAAAAAGGGGGAAAUCGACUUUUGAAAAAUAAAUACUUGGAGUCGCCACCAAUCCUUUUGUUUUGGUGUGAUCGGGUUACCUAAGAAUUUAGUUAUUUUAAUAAAAUGCUUUUUGAUUCACUAAAACAACGAUUUUGAUAUACGAGAAUAUGAGAAAACGGGCUCGGGAGUUGGUUACGUAUGAGGAAGGAUUAGCACCCUCAUUACGCCCAAAAUUGGUACCAAAUCGAUUAAAUACUGUCCUUAUGUCUAAAAUUAAAAUGUUUUUGAAAUAUGAUUCUCGUUUAUAACGUUUAAAUAACUCGAGUGGGUUACCAAAAUCUUCUUGACGUUUAUAAUUCGAAAUUUACAAAAGGAUGCCCAACUAUUUGGUCUAACGAAAAACCGAAACCCAGCACAGUAAGGUAUGAUUCCUUAAAUUUCUGAACAUCGAACAUUACCUCACCUUAGAAAAUACGAGUGAAAUUCAGAAAGGAUCUUCGAUUGUUUUGAGCAAAAGAGAAAGCGCAACCCAGCACGAUAGGGCUUGAUUCUCAAAUCGCCAAACAUCGAAUAUCGCUUUCGUUUUGCAAGGUUUUUAAUAAACAUGAAUGAAAACCUAAAGGAAUAUUUGAUUGUUUUGAACAACAAGAAAUCACAAGCCAGCACCAUAGGACAUGAUUCCCGAAUUAUCAAACACCGAGUAUUGCCUUCGUUUUAAAGGAUAUUUAGAAGACACGAGUAAAGCUUUAAAGGGAUAUUCGAUUAUUUUGAGCAAACACGAAAUUGCAACCCAACACGUUAGGGUACGAUUCCGCGAAUUGCGAAAUAUCAAAUCUCUUCUUCGUUUUUUAAAAGAUUUUUAGAGAAUUGUGAAACUAGCUUAAAAUGCAUUGGUUUGAUUUGAAAUAAGAUGACAUUGAUCACGAAAUUUGGUUUUUAUAAAACCACAUUUCAAAAAUCAAGUGGAAAACGAUGAAUGGGGUAAUAUGUGUAUGCAUAAAAAUACGACAAUGAAAAGAAAUGAAGAUAAUACAAUCAACUACAAGAACUUAAACGAAUAAGCAUAACUAGUUUGGAAAUAUAACUCAAUUUCAACCAUGCAUGGAGAAUAAUGACAAUGUAAAACAAUGAAUAAGUAAUAUGCAACGAUAACAUGCAUAGCAUAAUAUAAUAUGACUACCACUAGAUACACAAAAUAAAAUGCAAAUCGAAGGAGUGAUAUGGUAUAAACUAUUUUAAACAACAAUGAAUGAAUGAACACAUAAAAUGUAGAUUGACAAAUUUGUAUUAAAAAACUAGAGAUAGAUGUAUGAUUUUUGAAAUAGAUAUUAUAGAAUGAAAGUUUGAGUUAAAUUGUAUAUAAAACAUUUUAUACGCGAAUUCAUUUAAAAGUUAACAAAAUACAUGAUAAUUUAAAUAAUAUACAAUACAAAAGAAUAAUAAGGAUAUAAGAUGAGAUAUAACACACAAAAUAGUUUUAUAAAACAUAUAUACAUGUAAGUUUAUUGUAGAAAGAUCAUGAAAUUAAUAAUAAUAUAAAUUUUAAAUUAGUCUAAAACAAAUGUACACAUGCCUUUAUACCAAAACAUUUAAAUAAUAGGCCACAUAAAACACAAAAGUAAUAUAAUAUAAAAGAAUAUUCAAAAAUAAUAAUUAAUGAUUACAAAAAUGAAGUUUCUAAAAUUAAUUCAUAUAUGUAUAUUGAAAAUACUUGAUAAAUUACAAAGUAGAUUGUGUUUUAACAUAAGCAAAUCUAUUAAAAUAAUAAGUGAAUUAAUAUAUAUAUAAAUUUAAAAGCAAAUACAUGCAAAAUAACAUUUAAAUAAUAUGUAUAGGGCUAAGUGAAUCUUAUUAAAAGCUACAUAGUAGAUUUAAGGACAUACUUGUAUAUACAAGAAAGCUAUAUGUAUAAAAUGUAUAGAUUUAGAAGUAUAUGCGGAUUAAACAUAGGCAACAAUAAACAUAUAUGCUCACAUGAUAAUAAUUCAAAAUAUAUAUUAUAUAAUAGAAUAUAAGAACAAAUUUAAAAGGAAAUAUAAGUAUAAAAUAAUAUGAGAUUAAUAGUAUGCAUAAAAUAAAACUAACUUUAUUAUAUGGCACAUAUAUGUAUACAUAUAUAAUGGUAAUAUAUAUACAAGGAUAUUUACAAAGCAUCAGGCAAAAAUAUUGUAAUAGCAUGGCAUAAAAAACAAACAACAUAAUAGCGAUUAAAAAGAAACACAAGAAAAGCAUUAAAAUAAUAUACAAUGUAAAACAAGAAUGAUAAUGUCGAAAGUGCCUUUGAAACAAAAAUGAAUCAUAAAGUAAAAAAUAGUAAAAAAAAUAGAAGGGAUUUAAUUAAAAUUAAACCAAAACACAAAGGGGUGACUUGAAAAUAAAUCAUUAAUGAUAGAAGGGUCAAAAGGUAAAGUGAGCAAUUGCACAGGGGCUCAAACUAGAAAUAUUCCAGGCUCCCAAAGCGCAGCACACCAGCGCAGACUAAAAUGAAAACACGCGCGAAUUAAUGGGCCAAUUUAAAAGAAUCGAAGCGGAAUAGAUAGGGCGCGAUUGAAUGCGCACGUGAAAGAGGACCAAGCCUGCAAAUAUCCCAUUUGCAGUGAGAAGGCACGGGUCUGGGUCCUGGAGCGGGUUGAUGCGUAGACCCUUCCCCUUCGGAACAGCGCCGUUUUGCUGCAUGCUUAAAACCUCAAGCAAAUGAAUGGCAUUUUACCAUUUCUCCAAGCUGCAGAUCGAAUACCCAAUUGUUAGGGUUUCGGCGCAGCAACCUUCAUUUACCCAGGGCCAUUCGGUCGUCAGUUCACCAUCAAAAUUGGUGAGUGACUCAGAAGCCUCUUUGUUCCCAUCAGAAUCGACGCUUAAAAAAACCUUUUCCUUUUGCAUCUCUAACCCUGACUUCGAUGGAGAAGACGAGGUCAUUGAUGCGUCCGCGAAGGUAAGUUUCUCGCUCCUCUUUCUUCCCCGUUUUUUUUUUAAAAGUUCUAAAGAAGGCAGGACAUAUGCGAAAAAAAUAUUGAAGACGAAGAAGAUUCAAAAAUCACCUUCUUUGCUUUGUAUUGUUUUUGUAUUCUCUUUUUCGUAUUUGUUUUUGUUGCCUUUGUCCGUAACCAUUACAAAGAUUGAAUUGUUGGCUUUAUAGCCGGAAAGAAAAGAAAAUAAAAAGGAAAUAAAAAUAAGAAAUACAAUUUUUUGUU